Molecule: ribosomal RNA, 3597 nt
Filed under: Capsicum baccatum
Lineage: Eukaryota; Viridiplantae; Streptophyta; Magnoliopsida; Solanales; Solanaceae
Description: eukaryotic LSU rRNA
Rfam family: Eukaryotic large subunit ribosomal RNA (bases 387-3597)
Source: RNAcentral
ACUCUCGGCAACGGAUAUCUCGGCUUUCGCAUUAAUGAAGAACGUAGCGAAGUGCGAUACUUGGUGUGAAUUGCAGAAUCCCGUGAACCAUCGAGUCUUUGAAUGGAAGUUGCGCCUGAAGCCAUUAGGUCGAGGGCACAUCUGCCUGGGCAACACACAUCCCGUCGCCCCCCUCGCAUCGCGCCUCCAUCAUGGGGUGCGCUGUCAUCGCGGGGUGGAUACUGGCCUCCCAUGUGCCAAGCACUCACUGCUGGCCUAAAUACGAGUCCACGUCGACGGACAUCGCGGCAAGUGGUGGUUGCAACUAAACUCUCUUUGCCAUCGCGGCUACGGCCCAUCGAGCAUCCCGGACUUCAGGACCCCUUCCCGCUCAGGCGCUCCGACCGUGACCCCAGGUCAGGCGGGAUUACCCGCUGAAUUUAGGCAUAUCAAUAAGCGGAGGAAAAGAGACUUACAAGGAUUCCCUUAGUAACGACGAGCGAAUCGGGAAUAGCCCAGCCUUAGAAUCAGGCAGCUCCGUCGUCCGAAUUGUAGUCUGGAGAGCCGUCAUCAGCGGCGGACCGGGCCCAAGUCCCCUGGAAUGGGGCGUUGGAGAGGGUGAGAGCCCCGUAGUGCCCGGUCACUGUCUCACCACGAGGCGCUGUCUAGGAGUCAGCUUGUUUGGGAAUGCAUCCCAAAUCGGGCGGUGAAUUCCGUCCAAGGCUAAAUACGGGCGAGAGACCGAUAGCUAACAAGUACCGUGAGGGAAAGAUGAAAAGGACUUUGUAAAGAGAGUCAAAGAGUUCUUGAAAUUAUCGAGAGGGAAGCGGAUGGGGGACGGCGAUGCGCCCCGAGAAGGAUGUAGAACGGUGAUGAGCCGGUCUGCCAAUUGACUCAGUACGUGGACCAGCGUCGAUUGGGGGGGGGCUAAAUCCCGGGCUCUCGAAUGCUCGUGGAACACCAUCUCCUCGAUUGUGGCAGGCAGCGUGCGCCUCUGGUAUGCUUCGGCAUCUGCGUGCUCCAGACGCUGGCCUGUGGGCUCCCCAUUCGACCCGUCUUGAAACACGGACCAAGGAUUCUGACAUGUGUGCGAGUCAACGGGCGAGUAUACCCGUAUGGCGAAACAAAGCUAAUUGGUGGGAUCCCCUCGAGGGGUGCACCGCUGAUCGACCUUGAUCUUUUGAGAAGGGUUCGAGUGUGAGCAUACCUGUCGGGACCCCUCAGGUGGAGGCCCACAGCGAUUCUAACAUGCAAAUCGUUCGUCUGACUUGGGUAUAGGGGCGAAAUACUAAUCGAACUGUCUAGUUGCUGGUUCCCUCCAAAGUUUCCCUCAGGAUAGCUGGAGCUCGCGUGCAAGUUCUAUCGGGUAAAGCUAAUUAUUAGAGGCCUCAGGGACGCAAUGCCCUCGACCUAUUCUCAAACAUUAAAUAGGUAGGAAGGCGCGACUGCUUGGUUGAGCCACACCACGGAAUCAAGAGGUCCAAGUGGGCCAUUUUUUGUAAGCAGAACUGGCGAUGUGGGAUGAACCUAAAGCCGAGUUACGGUGCCAAACUGCACGCUAACCUAGAUCCCACAAAGGGUGUUGGUCGAUUAAGACAGCAGGACGGUGGUCAUGGAAGUCGAAAUCCGCUAAGGAGUGUGUAACAACUCACCUGCCGAAUAAACUAACCUCAAAAAUGGAUGGUUCUUAAGUGCGCGACCUAUACCCGGUCGUCGAGGCAAAUGCCAGGCCCCGAUGUGUAGGAUGGCGCGACAGUCACUGCAAAACCAUGGGCGCGAUCCCGGGCGGAGCGGCCGUCGGUGCAGAUCUUGGUGCUGGUCACAAAUAUUCAAAUGAGUACUUUGAAGGCCAAAGAGGGGAAAGGUUCCAUGUUAACGGCACCUGCACAUGUCUUAGUCGAUCCUAAGGGUCGGGGAAACGCCGACAGACAGCGCAUUUUGCGCCUGCUCCGAAAAGGAAUCGGGUUAAAAUUCCUGAACUGGGAUGUGGCGGUCGACGACAACAUUAGGAAGUCCAGAGACAUCGGUGGGAGCCUCGAGAAGAGUUAUCUUUUCUGUUUAACAUCCUGCCCACCCUAGACUCGGCUCAGCCAGAGGUAGGGUCCAGCGGCUGGAAGAGCACCGCACAUCGCGUGGUGUCCGGUGCGCUCCCGAUGGCCCUAGAAAAUCUGGAGGACCGAAUGUCGUCCAUGCCCGGUCAUACUCAUAACCACAUCAAGUCUCCAAGGUGAACAACCUCUAGUCUAUGGAACAAUGUAGGCAAGGGAAGUUAGCAAAAUGGAUCCGUAACUUCGGGAAAAGGAUUGGCUCUGAGGGAUAGGCAUGGGGGUCCCAGUCCCGAGCCCAUCGGCUGUUGGUGGACUGCUCGAGAUGCUCCCCGCGCAUUGAACAGCCAACUCAGGACUGGUACAGACAAGGGGAAUCCGACUGUUUAAUUAAAACAAAGCAUUGCGAUGGUCCUAACGGAUGUUCACGCAAUGUGAUUUCUGCUCAGUGCUCUGAAUGUCAAACUGAAGAAAUUCAGCCAAGCUCGGGUAAAUGGCGGGAGUAACUAUGACUCUAUUAAGGUAGCCAAAUGCCUCGUCUUCUAAUUAGUGACGUGCUUGAAUGGAUUAACAAGAUUCCCACUGUCCUUGUCUACUAUCCAUCAAAAUCACAGCCAAGGGAACGGGCUUGGCAGAAUCAGCGGGGAAAGAAGACCCUGUUGAGAUUAACUCUAGUCCGACUUUGUGAAAUGACUUGAGAGGUGUAUUAUAAGUGGGAGACGAAAGGCGAAAGUGAAAUACCACUACUUUUAAUAUUAUUUUACUUAUUCCGUGAAUCGGAAGUGGGGCAAUGCCCCUCUUUUUGGACCCAAGGCUCGCUCUGCGGGCCGAUCCGGGUGGAAGACAUUGUCAGGUGGGGAGUUUAGCUGGGGCGGCACAUCUGUUAAAAGAUAUCAUGUGGAACAGAAGGGUAAAAGCUCGUAUGAUUCUGACUUCCAGUACCAAUACGAACCGUGAAAGCAUGGCCUAACGAUCCUUUAGACCUUCGAAAUUCGAAGGUAGAGGUGUCAAAAAAGUUACCACAGGGACAACUGGCUUGUGGCAGCCAAGCGUUCAUAGAGACGUUCCUUUUUGAUCCUUCGAUGUCGGCUCUUCCUAUCAUUAUGAAGCAGAAUUCACCAAGUGUUGGAUUGUUCACCCACCAAUAGGGAACGUGAGCUGGGUUUAGAUCAUCGUGAGACAGGUUAGUUUACCCUACUGAUGAAAGUGUUGCAAUAGUAAUUCAACCUAGUACGAGAGGAACCGUUGGUUCACACAAUUGGAAAUCGCGCUUGGUUGAAAAGCCAGUGGCGCGAAGCUACCGUGUGAUGGAUUAUGACUGAACACCUCUAAGUCAGAAUUCGGGCUACAAGCAAUGCAUGUGCCCGCCGUCCACUUGCUGACCCUCAGUAGGGGCCUCGUCCCCCAAGGGCAUGUGUCGUUGGCUAAGCCGCCACGGCGGAAGGGUCGCAGUGGCCGCCUUAAAGUACAAGUGAAGUACAAUUUCCAUUGAGCGGCGGGCAGAAUCCAUUGCAGACGACUUAAAUACGCGAGGGGGUAUUGUAAGUGGCAGAGUGGCCUUGCUGCCACGAUC